Molecule: ribosomal RNA, 324 nt
Filed under: uncultured eukaryote
Lineage: Eukaryota
Description: partial 18S ribosomal RNA
Rfam family: Eukaryotic small subunit ribosomal RNA
Source: RNAcentral
CCCUUAGAUGUUCUGGGCUGCACGCGCGCUACACUGAAGCUAUCAACACGUUUUCCCUCCCUGAGAAGGGCGGGUAACCUUUUGAAUCAGCUUCGUGGUAGGGAUCGGGGCUUGCAUUUGUUCCCCGUGAACCAGGAAUUCCUAGUAGACGCGAGUCAUAAGCUCGCAUCGAUUAAGUCCCUGCCCUUUGUACACACCGCCCGUCGCUACUACCGAUUGAACGUUUUAGUGAGGCAUUUGGACCGACGCAUCUCAGUUUAACCGCUGGUUUGUGUUGGAAAGACUUCCAAACUUGAGCGUUUAGAGGAAGUAAAAGUCGUAACA